GACGAACGCUGGCGGCGUGCUUAACACAUGCAAGUCGAACGAUGAACUGGAGCUUGCUCCAGGGAUUAGUGGCGAACGGGUGAGUAACACGUGAGUAACCUGCCCUUGACUCUGGGAUAAGCGCUGGAAACGGCGUCUAAUACCGGAUACGAGCUUCAGCCGCAUGGCUAGGAGUUGGAAAGAAUUUCGGUCAAGGAUGGACUCGCGGCCUAUCAGCUAGUUGGUGAGGUAAUGGCUCACCAAGGCGACGACGGGUAGCCGGCCUGAGAGGGUGACCGGCCACACUGGGACUGAGACACGGCCCAGACUCCUACGGGAGGCAGCAGUGGGGAAUAUUGCACAAUGGGCGCAAGCCUGAUGCAGCAACGCCGCGUGAGGGAUGACGGCCUUCGGGUUGUAAACCUCUUUUAGUAGGGAAGAAGCGAAAGUGACGGUACCUGCAGAAAAAGCACCGGCUAACUACGUGCCAGCAGCCGCAGUAA
Molecule: ribosomal RNA, 482 nt
Filed under: uncultured bacterium
Lineage: Bacteria
Description: partial 16S ribosomal RNA
Rfam family: Bacterial small subunit ribosomal RNA
Source: RNAcentral